UGCAGUUCCUCAUCAGAAGGAAGUACUUCAUCAAUUACGUCCUCUUCAUAUUCAUCAAUUUCUUCCCCAUCAUACUCAUCUUCGCUUCCCACAUCACUUCCUGACACCUCUGCCUCAUCCUCCAGAUCGCUUCAGGAGUUCUUCUUCAUCAUCAUCUUCAUGGUCUUCCAGUGCCAGAUCAUUACCAGAGUCACUGUGUUCAUCCUACAAAAUCAGCAUCAUAUCCAAAUUAAGCAGAAUAAAAUGCGUCCUCAAUGAAAAAAGGAUUUAUAAACAUCUGCCCAAAUACCUCAUUCUAGGAAAUUGUUUCUGAUAAGAUGCCAAACUUAGAAUUCUCAAGAACUGAGGGGAAAAAAACACUUGAGGGCAGCAAUACAUGGAGCUCAGUUAUGAUUACUUUGUUCCCUUCAUACUCACCUCAUCACUAUCAAACUCAUUAUCAUUUGAAACAAGCCGAAAGUCUCCAAAUUCCUCCUCCUCGUCUUCCUCUUCCCUAAAAUGUAAAUCAAUGAAUCAAUAAAUAAGUUGUUGAAAGCAAA
RNAcentral lists this long non-coding RNA (539 nucleotides) under Homo sapiens (human). RNAcentral describes it as "CLSPN antisense RNA 1 (CLSPN-AS1)". Lineage: Eukaryota; Metazoa; Chordata; Mammalia; Primates; Hominidae. The record is from RNAcentral.